RNAcentral lists this long non-coding RNA (6254 nucleotides) under Triticum aestivum (bread wheat). Its description in RNAcentral is "long non-coding RNA (TAES_LNC003423)". Lineage: Eukaryota; Viridiplantae; Streptophyta; Magnoliopsida; Poales; Poaceae. The record is from RNAcentral.
AAUGAUGUCGCUGUUGGUUACUUUGCAGGUAACAAUGUUACGCUGAUGACAUAGUUUAUUUAGCUCUCAAGAAUGGCUGCUUAUCGUUCAAGAAUCUGGACAACUACUUCUAUUUCGUAUUCAUACUAAAACUUCUAUGAAGCAACAAAUUUUCCUUCUUGUGAAUUUGUUCUGAAGCUACUAAAAUAUCCCCUUGUACUAAAAUAAGAUUUCUACUCAAAUUUUGUCAAGAUACUAAAUUUUACUUGCUUGCUCAUGCCUUAAAAUCUACCUUGUUGCCGAAAUUUAAUGAGGAGCUCAAGGGAAAAAAUGAACCAAGGAGAAGGGAUCCAGAGAAGGAGAAUUAAGAUGUGCCUUUCACUUAUAAUUUCUAAACACUACAGGAAUCAUGAUAUCGUGUUAGCAUAAUUGCAUGGUUACGUGUUAGAAGUGUGAAUGUGGGAGGCUUGGCCGGGGGAUUGUGAGCUGGAGAUUGUGGAGGAAAAUAAACAAGACUGAUUUGACUGUAAAAAAAUGUUGAUGUGCUUUUUAUGAAAUAUUUGGCCAAUCAUGUGUUGCAACGUGGGCACAUAUUUUCAUAGUUCUAUAUCAGUCAUAUCUGACAGAGAUCUGGAUGUUCGGUAUAUGAUAUGUAGUAUACUAUGCAGACCGCUGUUAAAUAUCAUAUACCCAGCCCGUGUACUACAUAUCAUAUAUCCACUCUGCACACUACAUAUCAUAUACCCAGUCUAAUGAACCAUGCGGUUCUGGCAUGAAGAAAAAUCCGUAUAUGGAUUUUUUUUCAUGGUUCAUGGGACCAACAACAUUGAAAGAGCAUUUCAGCUGUAUGAUUAGGCUUCUUGAAUUCUGACGUGGAGUAUGUGAUCGCGAGCUCACAGGAGCUCGGAAUCACGCCCGUCCAGAAUUGCUAUGAGAUUCGUCGCAUUAAAUGCUAUAGCCAGUUGGUGGGUCCAUGCCGACAAAGGAAAAUUAGGAUAUACGGCACAAUACGCGUCUGACAGAUGGGGCAAGGUGGACGGAGGGGUGCACGGCGUCGCCUGUGCAUGCCUGAGCCGUGGCUCGAGCUUGUCGCAGGCGUCCUGAUCCGUGGAUCAGGUACGGUGCUUUCUGCUAGCGCCGGCAGUGCCCGAACUAAAUGCAGUAGUUGGGUCAGUCGCUGGUUACGGGGGUGAAGUUGGAUUUGCCUCUCGUCCCGGUCGGUGAAGAGGUGGAGAUAUUUACUCCGGCGACGGCGACUGGGCGGUGCAGCGACCUCGGACAGGCUCCGGCGACCAUGGAGUUCUUACUGCAGCCGCUAAACAGGUUGGGAUCUGCUACUUGGCCCAUUAUUUUCAAUGGUUUUGACUCGGAUUUUGGGUACUGAUCUAGAUUUCGUCGCUUAAAAUUUUGGGUUGGUUAAGUAGAACAUUCCUGGAAGAGGUGAAUGAUAACAACGGGGCAAUGGAGCCCGUGCGGUUCCCAGUAUCCGCGGUGGCUGAGGUUGAGGAUCCAGCACCGGCCGCUUCAAGUGCUGACGGGCAGAUCUGCGGGGCGGAGGCAGCAGGCGCGGACAUGGCUCAGUGCUCCGAGCACUCAAUGGAGCAAAUUGACCCAAAAACACCAGGGCGGACGCAAAGGUACUACAACUUACCAUCUGAAUUGCAUCAAAAUUUGGCACUGCAAAUGUGUGUGUCCUGUCAGAUAUGCAAGCAGUAACUGAUGAAAUGAGGGUGGAACAGUAUACAUAACCGUGAUUAAAUAGCAUGAACACCACCAGUAUAUAUACGUGUGUGUGGGAAGGUUUUAUAAACUUGUUUAGGAUAAUAUAGUGUGAACUGCAAUUUUGUAAGAUGUUAGUGUAGCUCAGAAUUUUGUGGACUGGAAUUUCAUAACAAAUGGCUGCAGCUGAAAACACCACCUGAUUGUUUCUCUGCUGUGACUGGGCAGAGUGCAUGUAGGUGCUGCUGCUCUACGAAGGCCUCCGUGCCCGGACAGGGUCACGGCGCUGGAGAAGACUGACAGGGAAUUUGCCGAGCAUCCAGGUGACAUAGUUAUGGUGCCAAAGAUUGGAACAAAUUUUGACACGCUCGGAGAAGCUUAUGACUUUUAACUCCUGGAAGAAAGGAUUUGGAAUACGAUAUGGAAAGAGCAGGCUAAACGUUAGCAGGACUAAGUGUAUGCAAGAUAUAGUCUGUGGAUGCGCGGUACGGCUAAUGUUACAGCAGAAAUUGAUUACUAAUUUUUCAUAAAGAACAGAUUUGAAAAUGCCUGUGACUGAAUCUGACUUUUUGUUUGUUCCAUCAGGGGAAGCCAAUCGUUGAAAAUACUCGUUCAUGCCGGUGUGAAUGCCCAGCCCUCAUCAGACUACUGCGGACAAAGGACAAUGGAUGGUACGUAGCAGAGCACCGAGAUGGGCACAACCAUGCACUUUCCCAAACAUAUGGACAGACAAUACACUGGCCUACGGCAGUGAGCGCGGAAGCACGGAUCUGCGUGAUGGACACAGCAGCGGUGGUCAAUGAGGGACAGCUCGCGUCAGGCCUCGGAGCUCUGAACUGGAAAGAUGAAUCCACAUGCUUCUAUCUGGAAUUAGAGGUGAGGAAAAUACGUUUCAUUUUUUCUUUAGCUGCUUAGAGUUAAUUUUGCCCAUUUAGAAUCCAGACUACUGUAAGUUGCUUUUGAAAUCCUGGGUGAAUGGUCCAGUUAGACUGAUGGAUGUUGUUUACUGGAAUAAGAAUUUUGCACUGUAUAUUAAUUCAUUAGUUGAGAGUGCAGCAUGUUGUUUACUGGAUUCAGUUAGUUCAGUUGAUUGAGGUAACUGAAAGAGUCCUGCCUGGAUGGUCCAUGAUGGAUGUUGUUUACUGGAGUUAACAGUUUUCGAUGGUCUAGUAAUUUAUUUAUUGGGAGUGCAGCAUGUUGUUUACUGGUUCAAGUUAAUUGAGGCAAGUAGUCAGGUUGCGGAAUGGUGCUGCUGCCCCCAGCAUGCACCUUGCCCAUAUCGGGUGAGCGCUUUCAAGAAGGCAGUUAGGAUGUUUGCAGAGAACCCGAGCAAUAAUGUUAUCACUCCAGCGCUUGGGACAAGUAUCGACUCACUUGGCGAGGCGUAUAAUUUAUAGAACUUGUAUUCUUGGGAAAGGGGUUUUUGAAUUUGACAUGGAAAGAGUAGGUUGAAUGUUUAGAGAACGAAAUGCAUGCAAAAAAUAGUAUGGGGAUGCUCGGUACGUAUGACAUGUGGAGCACUAUGGUUACUUAUUUGGGGUUCAUUUAAUUGGGGUUGAUUUUUAAUCGAUUCAUGAUUGUUAUUUGCUCUGAUAAAAUAAAAUACAUAUGUAGGAUAAAGCUGGUGUUGAGAACACGAGGUCUUGUCGUUGCGAAUGCCCGGCUCUAAUAAGACUGCUACGGGCAGAGGACAAUGGGUGGUACAUUGCAGAGCACAGAGAGAGUCACAACCAUUCCCUUUCACUGAAUUUGGGUGAGACGAUCCACUAGCCCUCGCACAAGCACAUAGAUGUGUUCGGCUGGUGACUACAUGUUCUCGUCUCUUUGAUCGUUCUUUUUUCAGAUCUGAAACUGCACUGCAUCAGUGGUGAUUGAACUCAAGUUCUCGCCGGAUUUCCAUUGAUUGAGGAGGUGGACGGCACGUAAUGCUUGAGGUGUCCGUCUAGGACACCGGUGGCCGCGGAUGCCAUUGAUGUCCAUCAGGUGUCGACAGCAGCCAUUAGUGCCGAAGGGCAGGUCUGUGAGCUGGCUGCUAGUGUGGGCUCCGGGAAGGAGAGCUCCCCGCCGGAAUUGGAGCUGUCUGCGGGGAAACUCAAUCCGCAAGCACCAUGGUUGGCAAUGAGGUUAGUGUUUGACAUAAUAAUUUUAGUAGAUGUGCGGAAACAUUCAUUGCUGCAGUGUGGUAAGACUGUACUUACAAGGUGUGUCAUGCAUUUCCGACAGAAAUAUGUAGCAGCAACCAGUUUUUUUCACUUCAAUUGUAUUGAGCAAAGCUGAGUUGCAGUGUGGUCAACUGGUAAAACUCCCUUUUAAAUAGAAAAAAGACACUAGUGAAAUAUGUUCAGAAAAAAUCUUAUAAGUUUUUAAGGGACAUCAGGUUGCACUUUGUAAUUUGUAGGAAAGCUACAAACCGUUGAAAUAGAAAUGCUAUUCGCACAGACUUUUUAAAGGGCUAAGUUGCGGCAUUGCUUGUAAGAUGUAUGCUCCCUCCAUGUCAGAACUGAAGUCGCAAUAACCUUUAGAAAUAAGUGUUGUGUGAUUUGGUGAUUACCAAAAAAUAGAAUGUAGUGGAACUGUAUGCUGAUUAAGGUGUUUAGGAAACGCUAGGUGCAUCCACUCAUCCAGUACAUUUCUUUUUGGAAGUACACUGACUCGUUCGUGUGCUUGAAGCUGGACAUGAAACAACAGUGUGGUAGUUAUAUGGUGCGGUACUGACUAAACUGGGGUGUCAUUUAUAAGCAGGAUUCGCAUUGGAUCAGCGAGUCCAUUUAGAGGCAGCGUGGUCAAGUUAGCCGGACUGUGGGCGCCCGCAAUAAUAAAAGAGAUUGGGAGACCAUGCAGACCUGCUCACUGCAAGAACCACGGUGUACAGGGUCACUCGAGAUUUUUUUUGUACAAGCCGGGUGAAAUGAGACUGGGUUCAGGGGCUUGAGUCGGCGUUCAUGCCAAAUGGUUAGACAGUUGGGUUCGAAUUCCCUCCAGUUGUGCAUCACAAAGAGUUUUUAGUUAUGUCAACGUGCGUGUGUUAUUUCUGCUGUAAUGAUCCUCUAUUUCCUUUGUGGACAAAGAAUUGGCUCAAUGGGACUAAUAUGGUACGUGAAUUUUAGACUGAACGACAAUUGAUGUGCAUCUAAACUUCAUGUCCUAUUUGUACGUGGCAGUAUUACUCGUGUGAGCUGUAGGCAGAAAUUGGUUAGGAUCUAAUCCUUGCUCUGUUUUGAAUUCUGAGACAAGGAACAAUUGACGGGCGGUAGAAGGCUCGGGGUCGGAGAAAAUGGCUCAGCUCGUUAGCGAUCCAUCUGUCCCGAUUCUAGGGGACGGCAACAGGCUUAAUAAAUGUUGGGCCAUAGUGGGCCAAGCAACAGAUUGAUGGGACAUAUACUAUUUGGAAUACGCCUGCUUAUACACUGGGAUGUCCGAAUCUUGCAGAGAAACAAUGUGGGAGAUAAUGAGAGUCUGUGCGCUCGAGCUCAAUUCAGCAUUUUCGAUCCCGUCUCCAAGUUUUAAUGUUUGAUCUGCGUGUUAUUGACCUAAGAGAAAAUGGGUUCUGAAGCUUCGAUAUGAUGUAUUUCUAACAAAUAGCGACGAAAUCAAUACCUCACACGGGCAAUUACUCUUAUAUGGUUUGAUGCUUGAAAAAUUGUAGAGUCAGCACCUCUUUUUAAAGUGUACACGAUGCAAUAAAAAAAAGCAUCUUGAGUGCCAUGCCCAGGUACAGUUUUAAUGCUUAUAGCUGUAUUUUGUUCCAUUAGAAAAUACAACUAUAUUUUAUUCCUGAUAGGGCAAUCUUAUACGGGGAAAAUUACUCCUGAAUGUGUAUAACUAUAUAAUGUUCCUACAGAUGUACUUUGUUCCAUUAAAAACAUAGUAUUUCUGCUAUCUCAGUUGGAUGGCCACUGUUAUGUCAAUUUGAUGGCCACUAUGUUUUGCUACGGCAGAAGAUUCAACUAUAUUUUGCUAAUACAAGUACAACACUCAACCUCUGCUAUGCCAAUUCGAUGGCCACUACAUAUUCAGACGGGCAAUGAACCAAAUAACUCUUUCACUGGGCCACUGAUAAUAUUAUUGGUCGAGCUGAUUAGGGAAGUAAACUAUAUACAACAAUAAAGUGAAGUUGAACUGUUUAGAGAAGUAAAAUAUACAGAAGUAAUCUGAAGUACACUUGGAUCCAAAAGAUGUUGGUGGAAAUACUUCAACAAGCUUGAUGCAUUCAUUAUUCUGUAAUACUAGGAUUAACAAUGAUGUCGCUGUUGGUUACUUUGCAGGUAACAAUGUUACGCUGAUGACAUAGUUUAUUUAGCUCUCAAGAAUGGCUGCUUAUCGUUCAAGAAUCUGGACAACUACUUCUAUUUCGUAUUCAUACUAAAACUUCUAUGAAGCAACAAAUUUUCCUUCUUGUGAAUUUGUUCUGAAGCUACUAAAAUAUCCCCUUGUACUGAAAUAAGAUUUCUACUCAAACUUUGUCAAGAUACUAAAUUUUACUUGCUUGCUCAUGCCUUAAAAUCUACCUUGUUGCCGAAAUUUAAUGAGGAGCUCAAGGGAAAAAAUGAACCAAG